This 467-nucleotide ribosomal RNA is filed under the name uncultured bacterium. RNAcentral's name for it is "partial 16S ribosomal RNA". It matches the Rfam family "Bacterial small subunit ribosomal RNA", at positions 28 to 507 of the family's 1533-position model. The record is from RNAcentral.
GGUGAACGCUGGCGGCGUGCCUAAGACAUGCAAGUCGAGCGGGGCAGGUUUAUUCCUGUUCAGCGUCGGACGGGUGAGUAUCGCGUGGGUGUCCUACCCUGACUAGUCGUACAGCCUGGGGUAACCCAGGCUAAUCCGCCAUGUGGUCCUGUCCUGUGGGGCAGGACUAAGGGCUCGACCCGCUUCCGGAUGGGCACGCGUCCCAUCAGCUAGUCGAUGGGGUAAAGGCCCACCCAGCCGACGACGGGUAGCCGGUCUGAGAGGAUGGCCGGCCACAGGGGGACUGGGAAACGGGCCCAAGUCCUACGGGGGGCAGCAGUUAGGAAGCUGCCGCAAUGGACGGAAGUCGGACGGAGCGAGGCCGAGGGGAGGAGGAAGCACAUCGGGGUGUAAACUGCUGAACGGGGGAAGAAAGCCACGUGUAGGGGGAGGACGGUACCCAGGUAAGAGCGCCGGCCAACUCCGUG